AUAGGCGAAAGCUUGACAGGGUUACUCUGAGUGAUUCCCGCUAAGGGGAUCUUUUGGCACCUCUAAAAAUGGUGCAGAAUAAGGGGUGGGCAAGUCUGGUGUCAGCCGCCGCGGUAAUACCAGCACCCCGAGUGGUCGGGACGAUUAUUGGGCCUAAAGCAUCCGUAGCCGGUACUGCAAGUCUUCCGUUAAAUCCACCUGCUCAACAGUUGGGCUGCGGGGGAUACUACAGCGCUAGGAGGCGGGAGAGGCAAGCGGUACUUAAUGGGUAGGGGUAAAAUCCACUGAUCCAUUGAAGACCACCAGUGGCGAAGGCGGCUUGCCAGAACGCGCUCGACGGUGAGGGAUGAAAGCUGGGGGAGCAAACCGGAUUAGAUACCCCCGUAGUCC
Molecule: ribosomal RNA, 390 nt
Filed under: uncultured archaeon
Lineage: Archaea
Description: bacterial SSU rRNA
Rfam family: Archaeal small subunit ribosomal RNA
Source: RNAcentral